Molecule: ribosomal RNA, 467 nt
Filed under: uncultured bacterium
Lineage: Bacteria
Description: bacterial SSU rRNA
Rfam family: Bacterial small subunit ribosomal RNA
Source: RNAcentral
AUUAAACGCUGGCGGCAUGCCUUACACAUGCAAGUCGAACGGCAGCACGGGGGCAACCCUGGUGGCGAGUGGCGGACGGGUGAGUAAAGCAUCGGAACGUAUCCUGGAGUGGGGGAUAACGUAGCGAAAGUUACGCUAAUACCGCAUAUUCUGUGAGCAGGAAAGCAGGGGAUCGCAAGACCUUGCGCUCUGGGAGCGGCCGAUGUCGGAUUAGCUAGUUGGUGGGGUAAAGGCCUACCAAGGCGACGAUCCGUAGCGGGUCUGAGAGGAUGAUCCGCCACACUGGGACUGAGACACGGCCCAGACUCCUACGGGAGGCAGCAGUGGGGAAUUUUGGACAAUGGGCGCAAGCCUGAUCCAGCCAUGCCGCGUGAGUGAAGAAGGCCUCGGUUGUAAGACUCUUUGUUCCGGUAGCGAAACGGUUGUGGUGAAUAUCCACGACUACUGACGGUACCGGAACGAAUAAG